UGGGCUAUAAUAGUAGAAAGGAAAGUAAGGCACAAUUGGGUUAGGAGGAGGGGGUGUAGGGUAGUUCUUAUAGUUUGGUGGAGGAUAGUAAUAGUAACUGUGGCCGCCUCCUCCUCCUCCACCCUGUGGUGGUGGUGGAGAGGAGUAGGUGUAAGUGGAAGGUGGCAGGGGAGAGUAGUAGUAAGAGCCCGAUGAAGUGGGUGGAGAAGGUGGGGGUGGGCAGUUAUAGGUGGAUGAUGGUGGUGGUGGAGAGGGUGAGGGCGGUGGAGGCGGAGAUGGCACUGGGUUGCAACAUGAGGAGCACAUUGUGCAUGCGAUCUCAUAGAGUGUUCUUGAUUUUGGAAUGGGCAAGGGAUUGGUGGAAGGUAGCAUGAGGAGGAGAGCUAGCAGAGAGAAACUGAUGAUGUG
This 408-nucleotide long non-coding RNA is filed under the name Manihot esculenta (cassava). RNAcentral describes it as "long non-coding RNA (MESC_LNC008813)". Lineage: Eukaryota; Viridiplantae; Streptophyta; Magnoliopsida; Malpighiales; Euphorbiaceae. The record is from RNAcentral.